Molecule: ribosomal RNA, 411 nt
Filed under: uncultured bacterium
Lineage: Bacteria
Description: bacterial SSU rRNA
Rfam family: Bacterial small subunit ribosomal RNA
Source: RNAcentral
UGGGGAAUAUUGCACAAUGGGGGAAACCCUGAUGCAGCGACGCCGCGUGGAGGAAGAAGGUCUUCGGAUUGUAAACUCCCGUCCCAGGGAAGAAAAUGACGGUACCUGACUAAGAAGCCCCGGCUAACUACGUGCCAGCAGCCGCGGUAAUACGUAGGGGGCAAGCGUUAUCCGGAUUUACUGGGUGUAAAGGGAGCGUAGACGGAGCAGCAAGUCUGAUGUGAAAGGCAGGGGCUCAACCCUGACUGCAUUGGAAACUGUUGAUCUUGAGUACCGGAGGGGUAAGCGGAAUUCCUAGUGUAGCGGUGAAAUGCGUAGAUAUUAGGAGGAACACCAGUGGCGAAGGCGGCUUACUGGACGGUAACUGACGUUGAGGCUCGAAAGCGUGGGGAGCAAACAGGAUUAGAUACC